UACCAGCUCUCCGAGUGGUAGGGAUGAUUAUUGGGCCUAAAGCGUCCGUAGCCGGUUUGGUAAAUAUCUGGGUAAAUCGUGAGGCUUAACUUCACGAAUUUCGGAUAGACUGCCAGACUUGGGAUCGGGGGAGGUCAGAGGUACUCCAGGGGUAGCGGUGAAAUGUUGUAAUCCUUGGAGGACCACCGGUAGCGAAGGCGUCUGACUAGAACGAGUCCGACGGUGAGGGACGAAGCCCUGGGGCGCAAACCGAAUUAGAUACCCGGGUAGUCCAGGGUGUAAACGAUGUGGGCUUUGUAUUGGAGGUCCCACGUGGGCGUCCAGUGCAGAAGAGAAGUUGUUAAGCCCACCGCCUGGGAAGUACGGUCGCAAGGCUGAAACUUAAAGGAAUUGGCGGGGGAGCACAGCAACGGGAGGAGCGUGCGGUUU
Molecule: ribosomal RNA, 429 nt
Filed under: uncultured archaeon
Lineage: Archaea
Description: bacterial SSU rRNA
Rfam family: Archaeal small subunit ribosomal RNA
Source: RNAcentral